UACGUAGGGUGCAAGCGUUGUCCGGAAUUAUUGGGCGUAAAGAGCUCGUAGGCGGUUUGUCGCGUCUGCUGUGAAAACUCGGGGCUUAACCCUGGGCCUGCAGUGGGUACGGGCAGACUAGAGUGCGGUAGGGGAGACUGGAAUUCCUGGUGUAGCGGUGAAAUGCGCAGAUAUCAGGAGGAACACCGGUGGCGAAGGCGGGUCUCUGGGCCGUACCUGACGCUGAGACGCGAAAGCGUGGGGAGCGAACCGG
Molecule: ribosomal RNA, 253 nt
Filed under: uncultured bacterium
Lineage: Bacteria
Description: partial 16S ribosomal RNA
Rfam family: Bacterial small subunit ribosomal RNA
Source: RNAcentral